RNAcentral lists this transfer RNA (72 nucleotides) under Marmota marmota marmota (Alpine marmot). It matches the Rfam family "tRNA". Rfam says of the family: Transfer RNA (tRNA) molecules are approximately 80 nucleotides in length. Their secondary structure includes four short double-helical elements and three loops (D, anti-codon, and T loops). Further hydrogen bonds mediate the characteristic L-shaped molecular structure. tRNAs have two regions of fundamental functional importance: the anti-codon, which is responsible for specific mRNA codon recognition, and the 3' end, to which the tRNAs corresponding amino acid is attached (by aminoacyl-tRNA synthetases). tRNAs cope with the degeneracy of the genetic code in two manners: having more than one tRNA (with a specific anti-codon) for a particular amino acid; and 'wobble' base-pairing, i.e. permitting non-standard base-pairing at the 3rd anti-codon position. RNAcentral also lists the same sequence under 1 other name. Lineage: Eukaryota; Metazoa; Chordata; Mammalia; Rodentia; Sciuridae. The record is from Rfam by way of RNAcentral.
GGUGAUGUAGCUCAGUGAUAUUGCACUUGCCUAGCAUGCAUGAGGUCCUGGGUUUGAUCACCAGCAUCACAA